UACGAAGGGGGCUAGCGUUGUUCGGAGUUACUGGACGUAAAGGGCGCGUAGGCGGCGCACCAAGUCAGGCGUGAAAGCCCUGGGCUCAACCCGGGAAUUGCGCUUGAGACUGGUGUGCUUGAGUACGGGAGAGGAUAGUGGAAUUCCCAGUGUAGAGGUGAAAUUCGUAGAUAUUGGGAAGAACACCGGUGGCGAAGGCGGCUAUCUGGACCGUAACUGACGCUGAGGCGCGAAAGCGUGGGGAGCAAACAGG
Molecule: ribosomal RNA, 253 nt
Filed under: uncultured bacterium
Lineage: Bacteria
Description: partial 16S ribosomal RNA
Rfam family: Bacterial small subunit ribosomal RNA
Source: RNAcentral